GUCGGGAAUAUUGCGCAAUGGAGGAAACUCUGACGCAGUGACGCCGCGUAUAGGAAGAAGGUCUUCGGAUUGUAAACUAUUGUCGUUAGGGAAGAAAAAGGACAGUACCUAAGGAGGAAGCUCCGGCUAACUACGUGCCAGCAGCCGCGGUAAUACGUAGGGAGCAAGCGUUAUCCGGAUUUAUUGGGUGUAAAGGGUGCGUAGACGGGAUAAUAAGUUAGUUGUGAAAUCCCUCGGCUCAACUGAGGAACUGCAACUAAAACUGUUAUUCUUGAGUGUUGGAGAGGAAAGCGGAAUUCCUAGUGUAGCGGUGAAAUGCGUAGAUAUUAGGAGGAACACCAGUGGCGAAGGCGGCUUUCUGGACAAUAACUGACGUUGAGGCACGAAAGUGUGGGGAGCAAACAGGA
RNAcentral lists this ribosomal RNA (407 nucleotides) under uncultured bacterium. Its description in RNAcentral is "bacterial SSU rRNA". It matches the Rfam family "Bacterial small subunit ribosomal RNA", at positions 354 to 777 of the family's 1533-position model. The record is from RNAcentral.